RNAcentral lists this long non-coding RNA (2775 nucleotides) under Panax ginseng (ginseng). Its description in RNAcentral is "long non-coding RNA (PGIN_LNC011398)". Lineage: Eukaryota; Viridiplantae; Streptophyta; Magnoliopsida; Apiales; Araliaceae. The record is from RNAcentral.
CUCCAAUCUUGAUGACAUUAUGCAUGUCAAGAGUAUUUCUUCUGGUGUUUCUUUACAUGAAAAUCUCAAAUUAGCUGAAUUCACAAACUAUGGAGGAACUCCUGAUGCAUGGAACAUGUCUGAAGCUGUGUGUUGAUGAGGUUGGGACUACAAAAAAUUGUGAUGAAGGAAUGCUCUUUUGAUGCAUCUAUUUGAAUUUGGGAGUAUGUUGGCUACUGAGCAAUCACAAACUCGUAUUUUUGAGGUUUCAAUCCCUUGUUAAGAUGAACCAUAUAUGUUUUGGUUCCAUCUAGAAAGGCACUGGUAAACUGUACCGCAGAUAAUGAUUGGCUUUCUUUAUGCCGACACCUUGAGUUCUACAGAGCAGGAAGUGAUUGCUUAGUUUAUAUUUCUCAGCAAACAAAAUACUUACAUAGACCAUAAUCUUUUUCAUCUUAACCAACUAUGAGCUACUCAAGUUUCAAAUUUCCUCGUCUGAAAGGUCCAAUAGCGUACUUUGGUAAUUUUUUACUGCAUUAGUUCUCAACUUUUGAUUAUACUCAACUUAUACUGAAUUACUGAUAAAUUAAUGCUUGGUCUAUUAGAUGCUUGCUUCUUUUUUUAACUGUUCUUUCCCACUUCUCAAUUUGGAGAUAUAUUUACCAUCCAUGCCUUAAAUAAAAUUGUGCACUUACUUUGUAUUUAUGCUUGCAUUUUCAGCAAAUGCUGCAUGUGUGUGCUGGCUGUUCUCCAAAUGUGAAAUUAACGUAGGUAAUAGUAGCUACUCCAGGGUGCUUCAUUUUGUAAAAUUAAGUAAGUUGACGAUGUGCUUUUGUUCUUCUGCUUUAAAGUUUAAGAUUUGUCUUAUGCAUUUGAACUUCAUGUUGUUUUGUUUCAAGAUUCUUAAGAUCUAAUAGUCAGAAAUUUUUCAUUAGUUCUGUAAAAGUUUGCGUAUAAAGUCAUUGUAAUAAGAUUGUCCGACAAAGAACCUGAGCAUAAAUUAUAUCAAUUCCUAAUUUAAGGCAAUAAAGAUGUAUAAUUGAAUGCAAUCAUAUGAGACUGGGGUUUUUUUUAAAAAAAAUUAUUUAUCAGACUGCAAUCUAAUCAGACUCGGACAUCUUAGAACUUUCACAGAUCUACCUGCUUAAUCUUUCUAGAUUAUUCGUGAGACCAGUAAAGGAUCAUUUGAAACUAAAGGCUUUCUAACAAUAUUGGGCAAUAUUUUGAGUUUGAGUUUUUUUUCUCUUGGCUAUUUAAUUGAAACAGAGCAUUGUAGAUGCAUGAGAUGUGGCUUUCAUUUUUAAGACUUAAGAGGUUGGAGGACAAGACUCCUUUAAGGCCUCACAACUCGAGAAAGUGACAAAACCUUAAAAUAGAACAGACUGGGAUUGGAGACCCUCUAAAUGCUCAUUGCCUUGGCCCACAAUGACUCCAAAUGGUGAUCCUAUCCGGCUAUCCCACAACAAUGAGACGGAAAGGAGCAACCUUAAAAUUUACACAAAUUCCUUCGUUGAAAAUAGGACUAAAUUGAUCGACAUAAAUUUAUUGAAACUGGAGCAGAUUUUUGGGCAUCAUUGAUCAGAAGACUUUGGAAUUAUUAGCAGUCUUUUUGAUCUUAAUUACUUAACUCAAAAUUACCAAAACAGAAUUAAGCAGAAGAUUCUGGACAUCUUUUAUUGACACAGUUUUAUCGUUGAUGGGAGCUGAUCUCAAUUCACGAUGAGAGGAAAUCCAUAAAUAAACUUUAAUUUUCUCUUUGUGACUUGGCCAAAAUGAACUGAGAUCUUUGAUAUGCGUGGAACUUUAGCAAGAACUUCGGAGAUGAUGACAGUAAAAUUUCCAGAUUUAAUAUUAUGUAGUUCCUUGUUGAAGCAUUUCAAAUUUUAAUCUAGCUCAAUCUUGUUGCAAAUACCCAUACCAUCCAUGAUGUUUAAGUUUUAUUGGAUAAGAUUUUCUGUCUACUUUAUUUAUUUUUUAAUGUUAAGAUCUAUCCUCGUUUCUAUCCUUCUAAACUAUAAUUGUCUACUCCUAUAUACAUCAUUUCCCUUCCCUUUGGAGGAUUUGCAGUUAUUACUUGGGUUUAGUAUUGAGGUUAUAUGGGAAUCCCUUUCAUACUUGUGGUAAUCCCAAUCUUAGGCAUAUUAAGCACUGCAGCUGACCCUUGUUUACCUGUAAUCCUCCAUUAUUAGGCUUAUUUUAGCCCUGCAUGUGGAUGUAGCCUAGCCUUGUGCUUGGGGAUAUAUCUAGGCUUUUACAGUGCCAAACUGCCAAUUAAACUUUCAUUGUUACAUUAACUCUUUCUUACAGUUGUGAUGUAUUGCUCUUAUUGCAGAUUCUUGUUUUUCACAUUUGUUUUCUCCUGUGAGAAAUCUUCCUUGUACGGUGUAUGCCAGACUUCGGAACAACUGACUAUCCAUUAUGACCCAAGCCCAAGGCUUGUAAAUUAUAUAACCCAACCUAGCAAGAUAUAUUCUCAACCUGGGCCAGCUGCAGGACCUUUUGAUGCUCAUCAUGGCAUUGUAAGCAGCAUGCAAAGUGUAUAAAAGGUAAUUUCGGAGCUUUUGCUGUUAGUUAUUUGUAGGAUAAAUGCUGAAGAAAAUGUAGAAGCAGAAUUAAUAUCAGAAGAUGAACCCCGGCCACUGUUGUGUUGAGUAAUAGUAAAUGUUGGUUCCAUAAUAAGAAUUUUUCUAAUAAAAAUUUAGAAAAGUAAAUUAAAAUUUUAUUUGCAUAAUUCACGUUUAGAUAUGAAUCUUUACUUAAAAGAGUUAAACUUGUGUUACUGUUAUGAUUUACUUG